RNAcentral lists this long non-coding RNA (2271 nucleotides) under Canis lupus familiaris (dog). RNAcentral describes it as "lncRNA (ENSCAFG00845017997.1)". The record is from RNAcentral. Lineage: Eukaryota; Metazoa; Chordata; Mammalia; Carnivora; Canidae.
GCGCGGCCCCGCGCAGCCGCCCGGCGUGCGCGCCCCGCGACCGCGCCCGGCGCCUGGGAGCUGCGGAGAGCUGCUCGCCGGCGCGAGGUGAGUGGGGGAAGCCCUGGGCGACGGAGAGCUCGCCGAGACCUGGCCGGCCCAGGUGGGGGUGCCUGCGGACGGCGGGGCGUGACCCUGCGGGCCACGGGAGGGGCCGGAGGGGAGACGUUCCGGCGGGAGGCUGGGACGGGGGGGAGCGUCCAGGAUUUAAGAAGGGUCCGCUGAUGAGACCCGCAGCGAGAGGGAGGAAGGCGACGAGCGACGGCAGAGGCGAGCCCCCCAGAGUAACCAAUGAUGUCACUUCAAUGUGUUUUAGACCUAUGCCGUCUGGUAGGACCACACGUGGCUACUGAGUGCUUGAAAUGUAGCUGGCCCAAAUUGAGAUGUGCUGUAAGUGUAAAAUACACAUUACAUUUCAAAGAUUUAAUAGGAAAAAAUGUAAAAUAUCGUAUUUUUUUUUGUAUUGAUCACAUGUUGAAAUAAUGUUUUGUAUAUUGGGUUAAAUAAAAUAUAUUAUUAAAUUUAAUUUUGCCUGUUUUUUUCUUUUUAAUGUAGACUACUAGAAAAUAUAAAAUCACAUAUACAGCUUGCAACAUAUUUCUAUCGAACAGUACUGGUCUGGAUUUUUUUAAUUGUUUUAUUUUUUUAUUAUUUUUUAAAGAUUUUAUUUAUUUAUUCUUCAGAGACACGCACAGAGAGAGAGGCAGAGACAUAGGCAGAGGGGGAAGCAGGCUCCAUACAGUAAGCCUGAUGUGGGACUCAAUCCCGGGUCUCCAGGAUCAUAUCCCUGGCUGCAGGCGGCGCUAAACCGCUGCACCACUGGGGCUGCCCUGGAUUUUUUUUUUUUUUUUUUUUAAUUUAUGACAACAUUUUAUUUUAUUUUUUACCUAAGCUCUAUGGCCAACAUGGGGCUUAAACUCAACCCCAAGAUCAAGAGUUGUAAUGCUCUACCAACUGAGCCAGCCAAAGGUCUCUUGGUCCUUUUUUUUUUUUUUUUUUUAAGUAUAGUUGACACAAAAUGUUGUAUUAGUUUCAGGUGUACAACAUAAUGAUUCCACAACUCUAUACACUGUCUAGACUUUUCUAUGCAUCAAUAUGUAUCCAUAGAAAUAGUUGUUAUAAAACAAAAGGAAUCAUUCUGUGCUUGUUAAUUUGUAGCAUUCUUUUUUUCAUUUAAUACAUCUUAGAAGAGGGCGGGUGGCAACCCGGGUGGCUCAGCAGUUUAGCGCCUGCCUUCAGCCCAGGGUGUGAUCCUGGAGUCCCAGGAUCAAGUCCCACCACCGGCUCCCUGUGUGGAGCCUGCUUCUCCUUCUGCCUGUGUCUCUGCCUCUUUCUCUCUCCCUGUGUCUCUCAUGAGUAAAUAAAUAAAAUCUUAAAAAAAAUACAUCUUAGAAGGCAUUCUACAUGAGCUCUGCUAGUAGGAAGAUGAUAACUCCAAAUGACAUACAGUAUGUUAUCUGGUAGGAGUAGAUCAUAAUUUACUUAACCAUUCCCCUAUAUUGAACAUUUAAUACAUUUCUAGUUUUUCCAUCAUUAAUAGUAUUACAAUGGACAGCCUAUACAUUUACCAUUUUCCUUUCAUACUUGCCAGCAUUUUUCCAGGUUAAAAACAUCUGGGGCACCUGGCUGGCUCAGUGGGUGAAGCAUGCAACUCUUAAUCUCAGGAUUGUGGGCUCACACACACAUGGGGGGUAGAGAUCACUUUUUUAAAAAUCUUUUUAAAAAUUAGUGUUUUCAGGGAUCCCUGGGUGGCGCAGCGGUUUGGCGCCUGCCUUUGGCCCAGGGCGCGAUCCUGGAGACCCGGGAUCGAAUCCCACAUCGGGCUCCUGGUGCAUGGAGCCUGCUUCUCCCUCUGCCUGUGUCUCUGCGCCUCUCUCUCUCUCUCUGUGAGACUAUCAUAAAUAAAUAAAAAUUUAAAAAAUUAAAAAAAAAAUUAGUGUUUUCGGGAAUCCCUGGGUGGCGCAGCGGUUUGGCGCCUGCCUUUGGCCCAGGGCGCGAUUCUGGAGACCCGGGAUCGAAUCCCACAUCGGGCUCCCGGUGCAUGGAGCCUGCUUCUCCCUCUGCCUAUGUCUCUGUCUUUCUCUCUCUCUGUGACUAUCAUAAAUAAAUAAAAAAUUUUAAAAAAUUUAAAAAAAAUAAAAAUUAGUGUUUUCUUAAAAGCAAAGAUAAAUUUAUAAAAGAUGAGUUUUGGAAAAGCUGGAGGUGUUUGAUUUGUUAUGGCCUGAAUCCAUG